CAAGCCGAAGCUCCGAAUGAUGAGACCUAUCUAUGAACCAAUUUUUUUAGGAAGAGCCGGAAAAGGUAUGGCAGCGGUACUAGAAUGUUACUGUCUGUCGUCGGUGCUUAUAAAGGUUCUGCUGAAAGGAGUCUUCGG
This 138-nucleotide small nucleolar RNA is filed under the name Penicillium steckii. RNAcentral's name for it is "A. fumigatus snoRNA Afu_198". It matches the Rfam family "A. fumigatus snoRNA Afu_198". Lineage: Eukaryota; Fungi; Ascomycota; Eurotiomycetes; Eurotiales; Aspergillaceae. The record is from Rfam by way of RNAcentral.